UUAAAUCAUCAUAACAUGCUUUAUAUAAAGACAAUAUCGAUUCCAUUUCUGGACUACGCAGAUAAUGUGCAUACUGCAUGACACCCACAAGAGCACACAUAUACAUGUAGCACUAGCUAUUGAAAUAAACAUUGCCAAAAUACAAUGGAAGCUGCGUGUGAUAGUAUCCUGGACCUAGACUUGAAGAUUGAUGUCGAUUAUGACGUUGAGGACGUAUUGAAGGUUCUUGCAGAGGUCAAAUCCGAAUGGAGAACCGGGGAUAUAACUUUGCAAUCACUGGGCGGUGGCUUUGUGAAUCGGCUUCUUUUAUGUCGUGACCCCUCCGAUACCGAAAACCCAGGAGUUAUGGUCAGAAUCUUCGGCGAAUCGUUUUCGUUGCUUCAUGAUAGACAGAAAGAAAAGGAAUGCACGGCAUUAUUAUCCAGAUUGGGACUAGGACCGAAGUUACUGUGUAGCUUCAAAACAGGUUUAUGUUACGAUUUCCUAAAUGGUCGAACUUUUGAAUGGGAUUGUGAUGAUCACAAAGCUAAAUACCUCGUUGACCUCAUCAUUGAUGAAAUGUUGAGAUGGCACGACCCACGUGUCCAGCAAGCAGCCAUAAACUCAGGACUUGAUACCUGGAUUAACAAGCCUGUUAUGUAUAUGUACAAGCUACUGCAGGACUGGCCGAAGGACUUUCCUGAUUUGGAUCAAGAUUUAAGUUAAGUUUUGAAAUAUCUUCAUAUACAUGUACAUGUAAGAAAGCAUUCACAUUUUCAAUUUCAGCAAAUAGACUAAAUAAAAGAUUAUAAUGCAGGAUUUUACCGCAUGCAAAACCUAAAACAUUUAAAAACAAUACUCCAUCAGGUAAGUAAGUGGCUGUAACUAGUGAUCUGAGAAGCUGGUUCCUCUUCAUAUAACUCUCUAGAAAGCUUAUUCAGCGAGGGGUCCCCUCUUUUUUUUGGGGGGGGGGGGGGGUUAGCACUUGAUUAAUUGAAGGAUGAUUUUAAAGAUUUUAAAGAUUGUAUGACUGUCCCUUUCCAGGUUUCGUUCGAGAAUACCUACCUACGAGACACUUCUUGAAGAAGUUAAGAAUAUAGAGAAGAUAUGGGUCAAGCUGCACAUGAAGCCUGUAUUCUGCCAUAACGAUAUCAAUAUUACGAACUUGGUAUAUCAGUCUGGAAACGAUCGUGUCAUUUUCCUGGACUAUGAAUGGGCCGGAUUCAGCUCAGUGGCAUAUGAAAUUGGCUACCACCUUGCCUCAGUUCACUCUGGAACUGCUAAGGAUCUGACCGGUUUAAUGCCUACAGAUUCAUACGUCAGAGAGUGGGUAAGCAAGUACCUCAGGAAAAAGGCACAGAUUACGGGCAGUGGUGAAAUGGUUUCCGAAUAUGCUAUCAGUAAAUUAGUCCAUGAAGUGGAUGUACUAAUGCCGAUAACUGUCUUUUUAGUGGCCUUGAUUUGUAUUCGUUUGGCCUCGUUACCGGAAAAGGAAGACAAACUUGGUUUUGAUUAUAUCGGUAAUGGAGCUGCACGAUUCGACUACUACUUCAAGUCCAAGAAGGAACCCUGAUGAAGGGAAACAUUAGAGAGACUGCAAACACAUGAGACUCUCACUGCAGCUGCUGAACAAAAGUAGUCUAAUGAUUAGUAUGCUUUCGAUUAAACUUUACUUUAUAAUUUUUUAAAGAUCAGCACAGAUUUGACAAAAGUUGGAAACUCACCAUCUCCGAAUUGUGUAUGUUCACCGCAUAUCGGCAUGGAAAUGAACGCUAAAUAAACAGGUAAUCUACAGCUCAGUCUGUUUUUGCAGCGUGGGAGUUGUCUAGACCGUUUUUGCCAAUUCCAAUGAUUUUUUUUCCAGGAUGAACAUUUCUGCACACCUUGUGUCGCGACUAAGCAUGCUUUUAAAAUGAAAUAACUUGACGCUUUUCUUGGAAAGAUGCCACCAGUCUGCUUCCUCUCAACAGUCCACGUUUAACCGACUUCCAAAAGUUCGGUACAUAAGCGUUUUAUUAAAAUGCGGUUCAAAGAAUAAAUCAUUUUCAUUUGAUACGAGAGCUGACCUAUGCCAUGUCCUUCGAAUCAAAUGGUAGCUGGCCUCGGCUGUUGGGGACUGGUUGUUUUUACGAAGCAGAGAAUACUUGAAACUGGGUGUUUCUCACUGACUGUCGUUUUCGGCCAAAUCAACAAAUUGGCGGCCUGCGGUACACACUUUUCUAGGAAAGACGCCCCUACAGUUUUCUUCUUUUCAUCAGCAUCAGGUAACCGCAGUUUUCGAGAUUGGAGAAAAGAGAAAAAUGUCCUUUUUUGGAAUGACAUGUGAAGUCCAAUUCAAGAGAAAGUGGAAAUAAUUACCUGAUGUAGCCACUUUGUAGAGUUUACGUAGCCCUUUACCCAGUCUUCUUUUUCUUGGAGAUAACAGAAGCUGAUGAGACGAAGCAGACUGUGGUGGUGUCUUUUCUAGAGUGAUGAAGUACGGCAGGCUGUCAAGAUGUUUAUUCGGUAGAAAAUGACAGUCAGUGAAGAACUCCCCUGGCCAGUUUCCAGUAUUAUUUGCUUGGUUAAAUAACCAGGCCAAGCAGCCGAAGACACGAAGGAUAUGGCAUUGCUCAACUCUCUUUCCAAAUGAAAAUGACAUAUUCUAUUGUAACAAAAUUAACCUUUAGCUCCUUCGUUUCGUCUUCGGACCUGUUUAAGUCCGCAUUGUACAUACAACCGCUGUGCCGUCAGUACUCGUUCUCCGGGUUUGCAUUUUAUGUGUACCUAGAAGAUUUUUACCGGAGCAGAUUUUCGUGUUUGAAGACAAUUUUACACAAAACUGUGUGGUGUUAGAUCAUCAAACUUUGGAGAGACCUUUGUCUCCUUAGGACCAAUUUAUCUAGAGCUUCCUGGUAAGUUUAUAAGUAACUGUGUAUUUGUAAUAAGUGUUUUUAUGGGUGCAAUUUCGGACUUUUGUAAAUUUGUCCGCCAUGUUUGAUGACGUCAUUCUCAUCAAUUUGUUUGGAAGCUGGACCUUUGUUUUCACGUGUUGUAAGUUUUAAAGUGGUUCAAAAGCAGGAUAUUUUGAGCAUAAAGUGUUUUAAAGUGUUUCAUGUGGUAAAACUAUGUUUAUAGCAUCUGGGGAUGUCGAUUUCAAAGCUCUGGAUUUUGAAGUGUGGUCACAAAUUGUGCCUAAAGUUGGUGCAUCUUUCAAAACUUCGAGCAUCUUUCAAGGAUCGUGAAUUAUCUGGGGACGGGGUAGCCCGUGGAAGGACCCCGUAGGGGGUAUAAAAGCUCAUGUAAGCCUCAAAACAAUCAGAUUGCCUGCACACCAGGCCCAAUUACACCAAUUACAUCAAUUAGACCAAUUAGCCAACUAGCGGUUCUCCUAGUAGAACUCUUACUAGUACACUGAGAAUUAUCAUUUAGGUAAGGUUAGUACUGUCUUACAUUCUGUCAGAUUCUUCACGCACAUGUUCAUGCAUUGUGUAGCUUGCUAAAAGCAGCGCUGGUUAUCCAUGAGGAUAAAUGUACUUUGAUUAAUCUAUAGACAAAGCAAAGGCAGUACCCUUGAUCUUUUUGGUUGUACCAACUCCAAAUUGACUUGAGUCAGCUCCUAAACCCGGAGGGUUAUAUUUGAGCAAUCCUAUCUAAUCUAUUGGUAUUUCUAGGGAGGUAAACAAUCAAUUCUAAAGAUGCCAGAACCUUCGGUUCCCCUGAAUGCACCAAGUGUGCACAUAUAUCCAGAUGAUAUCAUCAUCAUUGGCACUUUUAUAGAACUAGAAGAUCUAGUUGAGUUUUUGGACGAGUUAAUUGAACUCUUAGUCCGUCUUAUAGAAGGCGAAGAUAUUGACAUGAGUCAAUAUCCUACUCUCAACCAGUUACUGUAAAUAUGAGAUUGUUUGGGGAGUGUUUUAAUCAGACCAAGCGCUGAUUGCUGUGUUUAAAGAGUUCCAUGUUGUGUCAUUGUAUUUGUGUAGUUGUAAAUAGUUGUAAAAGUUGAAGUCAAGUGUUGAUAUUAAAAAAAAAUCUA
This is an RNA transcript of Lineus longissimus, 3994 nucleotides long. It is a transcript of the gene named ethanolamine kinase 1-like, with no coding region annotated. The transcript is spliced from 7 exons. The record is from RefSeq and is a predicted model, not a curated record. NCBI's taxonomy places the organism in Eukaryota, Metazoa, Nemertea, Pilidiophora, Heteronemertea, Lineidae.